This 426-nucleotide ribosomal RNA is filed under the name uncultured bacterium. RNAcentral's name for it is "partial 16S ribosomal RNA". It matches the Rfam family "Bacterial small subunit ribosomal RNA", at positions 354 to 796 of the family's 1533-position model. The record is from RNAcentral.
GUGAGGAAUAUUCCGCAAUGGGGGAAACCCUGACGGAGCAAUGCCGCGUGCAGGAUGAAGGCCUUAGGGUUGUAAACUGCUUUUAUUUGAGAAGAAUAUGACGGUAACAAAUGAAUAAGGGUCGGCUAACUACGUGCCAGCAGCCGCGGUCAUACGUAGGACCCAAGCGUUAUCCGGAGUGACUGGGCGUAAAGAGUUGCGUAGGCGGCUCAUUAAGCAUUUAAUGAAAACUAUCGGCUCAACCGAUAGCCUGUUAAGUGAACUGAUGAGCUCGAGAGUAUCAGAGGUUACUGGAAUUUCUAGUGUAGCAGUGAAAUGCGUAGAUAUUAGAAAGAACACCUACGGCGUAGGCAGGUAACUGGGAUAUUUCUGACGCUGAGGCACGAAAGCGUGGGGAGCGAACCGGAUUAGAAACCCUGGUAGUCC